RNAcentral lists this ribosomal RNA (494 nucleotides) under uncultured bacterium. Its description in RNAcentral is "partial 16S ribosomal RNA". It matches the Rfam family "Bacterial small subunit ribosomal RNA", at positions 28 to 507 of the family's 1533-position model. The record is from RNAcentral.
GACGAACGCUGGCGGCGUGCCUAAUACAUGCAAGUAGAACGCUGGAGGAGGAGCUUGCUCUUCUGGAUGAGUUGCGAACGGGUGAGUAACGCGUAGGUAACCUGCCUGGUAGCGGGGGAUAACUAUUGGAAACGAUAGCUAAUACCGCAUAAGAGUAGAUGUUGCAUGACAUUUGCUUAAAAGGUGCAAUUGCAUCACUACCAGAUGGACCUGCGUUGUAUUAGCUAGUUGGUGGGGUAACGGCUCACCAAGGCGACGAUACAUAGCCGACCUGAGAGGGUGAUCGCCAACCUGGAGAUGGAAACCGGGCCCGAAGUCCAACGGAGGGAGCAGGUGGGGAACUUCGGCAAGGGACGGAAGUCUGACCGAGAAACGCCGCGAGAGGGAAGAAGGUUGUCGGGUCGUAAAGCUCUGUUGUAAGAGAAGAACGAGUGUGAGAGUGGAAAGUUCACACUGUGACGGUAUCUGACCAGAAAGGGACGGCUAACUACGUG